RNAcentral lists this ribosomal RNA (406 nucleotides) under uncultured bacterium. Its description in RNAcentral is "partial 16S ribosomal RNA". It matches the Rfam family "Bacterial small subunit ribosomal RNA", at positions 28 to 526 of the family's 1533-position model. The record is from RNAcentral.
GACGAACGCUGGCGGCGUGCUUAACACAGAAUGAAGAAACGAGUGGCGAACGGGUGAGUAACGCGUAAUCAACCUGCCCUUCAGAGGGGGACAACAGUUGGAAACGAAUGCUAAUACCUAAUACUGUGAGAGAGCUUUGCGUCCCAUUAGCUAGUUGGAGAGGUAACGGCUCACAAAGGCGAUGAUGGGUAGCCGGACUGUGAGGGUGAUCGGCCACAAGGGGACUGAGACACGGACCUUACUCCUACGGGAGGCAGCAGUGGGGAAUAGUGGACAAUGGACCAAAGUCUGAUCCAGCAAUUAGGGGUGCACGAUGAAGUUGUCGGAAUGUAAAGUUCGGUCAGUUGAGAAGCGGUACCAACAGAAGAAGUGACGGCUAAAUACGUGCCAGCAGCCGCGGUAAUAC